GUGCCAGCAGCCGCGGUAAGACGAACCUUGCUAACGUUAUUCGGAAUUACUGGGCUUAAAGGGUGCGUAGGCGGUGCAGAAAGUUGGGUGUGAAAUCCCUCGGCUCAACCGAGGAAUUGCGCCCAAAACUGUUGCACUAGAGGAAGACAGAGGUACGCGGAACUUAGGGUGGAGCGGUGAAAUGCGUUGAUAUCCUAAGGAACACCGGUGGCGAAAGCGGCGUACUGGGUCUUAUCUGACGCUGAGGCACGAAAGCUAGGGGAGCGAACGGGAUUAGAUACCCGCGUAGUCC
This 292-nucleotide ribosomal RNA is filed under the name uncultured bacterium. RNAcentral's name for it is "partial 16S ribosomal RNA". It matches the Rfam family "Bacterial small subunit ribosomal RNA", at positions 505 to 796 of the family's 1533-position model. The record is from RNAcentral.